GUGCGUGUCCGGGCGCCACGCGCUCGUUGCAAACGGCGAGCAACCCCUCGGCCCUGUAGGCACAGCGCACCCGACCCCGUCUGCGCCCUGCCGUGGUGCAGCGCAGUGAUUCGGCCGCCAGUGCUGCGCGGAGUGUCGAAUGCAGCGUGCCGAUUGCCGCGCUGCACCACUCGCAUGCGCGGCCAACUGAACGGCGCCAGUCGCGCGUGAUCAAGUCGCCGCGCUCGAGGCCGAUAUGGGCACAUGCAU
RNAcentral lists this small RNA (249 nucleotides) under Xanthomonas campestris pv. campestris. RNAcentral describes it as "ncRNA of unknown function". Lineage: Bacteria; Pseudomonadati; Pseudomonadota; Gammaproteobacteria; Lysobacterales; Lysobacteraceae. The record is from RNAcentral.